GGAACACCCGGUCCCAUUCCGAACCCGGUAGUUAAGCCUUCCAGCGCCGAUGGUACUGCACUCGUGAGGGUGUGGGAGAGUAGGACGCCGCCGAAC
This 96-nucleotide ribosomal RNA is filed under the name Saccharothrix longispora. The record is from RNAcentral. Lineage: Bacteria; Bacillati; Actinomycetota; Actinomycetes; Pseudonocardiales; Pseudonocardiaceae.